GGGCAGGCGGAGGCGGCGGCGGCGGCAGCGCGCAUGGAGGCGGCGGCGGCCCCGACCCCGAUCCCGAGUGGCGGUCCCGGUCCCCUGCUGCUCUGUCUGGUCCUUGCCUCCGGCCUGGCAGUUCUCAGCGGCGUGGGAGCCGAUGCCAAUGUCACCACAAGGCAUGGCACAGAGGGGCUCCCCUGUGGCACAGAUGAGGGCUGCACAGGGAACGUGACGCAGCUGAAGCGGCAGGGACACUUCUCCAGGUGCCCGGAGGAGUACACACACUACUGUGUCAGAGGGAGAUGUCGCUUCCUCGUGGCAGAGGAGACACCAGCUUGUGUGUGCGAACAAGGCUACACAGGGGCUCGCUGUGAGAGGGUGGACAUCUUCUACCUGCGAGGUGACCAGGGCCAGAUUGUGAUCAUCUCCGUGAUUGCUGCCAUCGCCAUCCUCAUUGCCCUCAUCGUCUGCGCCUGCAUCUGCAGCCAGUAUGUGGAGAGGGGGAGACAGGCCGCUGUCGGAAGCAGCGCAGGAAGAGAAAGGCAGAAGAGAUGGAGACGUUAAACAAGAAUUUACCUCCCAAAAGUGAGGAUGUGCUGGAGACAGGCAUUGCAUGAAGGAACUCCAGGUACCUGCGGGCAGGUCCCAGACAGUGGCAGUGGUUGGUGUGAUGGACAAGGGCUGAAUCAUACAACAGUUUCAAUAAAGGGUCGAUGGAAAGGUG
RNA transcript from Pogoniulus pusillus (Red-fronted tinkerbird), 709 nucleotides. It is a transcript of the gene named betacellulin, with no coding region annotated. NCBI's taxonomy places the organism in Eukaryota, Metazoa, Chordata, Aves, Piciformes, Lybiidae. The transcript has 6 exons. The record is from RefSeq and is a predicted model, not a curated record.